RNAcentral lists this ribosomal RNA (164 nucleotides) under Camellia granthamiana. RNAcentral describes it as "5.8S ribosomal RNA". It matches the Rfam family "5.8S ribosomal RNA". Rfam says of the family: 5.8S ribosomal RNA (5.8S rRNA) is a component of the large subunit of the eukaryotic ribosome. The record is from RNAcentral. Lineage: Eukaryota; Viridiplantae; Streptophyta; Magnoliopsida; Ericales; Theaceae.
UAAACGACUCUCGGCAACGGAUAUCUCGGCUCUCGCAUCGAUGAAGAGCGUAGCGAAAUGCGAUACUUGGUGUGAAUUGCAGAAUCCCGCGAACCAUCGAGUCUUUGAACGCAAGUUGCGCCCGAAGCCAUUAGGUUGAGGGCACGUCUGCCUGGGCGUCUCGC